CCUUCGGGAGGCAGCAGUGAGGAAUAUUGGUCAAUGGGCGUAAGCCUGAACCAGCCAAGUCGCGUGCGGGAUGAAGGCUCUAUGGAUCGUAAACCUCUUUUAUAAGGGAAUAAAGUGUGGGACGUGUCCUCUGUUGUAUGUACCUUAUGAAUAAGGAGCGGCUAACUCCGUGCCAGCAGCCGCGGUAAUACGGAGGAUCCGAGCGUUAUCCGGAUUUAUUGGGUUUAAAGGGUGCGUAGGCGGCCUUUUAAGUCAGCGGUGAAAGUCUGUGGCUCAACCAGAGAAUUGCCGUUGAUACUGGGAGGCUUGAGUAGGUUUGAGGCAGGCGGAAUGCGUGGUGUAGCGGUGAAAUGCUGAGAUAUCACGCAGAACCCCGAUUGCGAAGGCAGCCUGCCAAGCCAUGACUGACGCUGAUGCACGAAAGCGUGGGGAUCAAACAGGAUUAGAUACCCGGGUAGUC
Molecule: ribosomal RNA, 460 nt
Filed under: uncultured bacterium
Lineage: Bacteria
Description: partial 16S ribosomal RNA
Rfam family: Bacterial small subunit ribosomal RNA
Source: RNAcentral